UACGUAGGGUGCGAGCGUUAAUCGGAAUUACUGGGCGUAAAGCGUGCGUAGGCGGUUCGCUGUGUCCGAUGUGAAAGCCCCGGGCUUAACCUGGGAAUGGCAUUGGAAACUGGCGGGCUUGAGUGCGGCAGAGGGGGGUGGAAUUCCGCGUGUAGCAGUGAAAUGCGUAGAGAUGCGGAGGAACACCGAUGGCGAAGGCAGCCCCCUGGGUCGACACUGACGCUCAGGCACGAAAGCGUGGGGAGCAAACAGG
Molecule: ribosomal RNA, 253 nt
Filed under: uncultured bacterium
Lineage: Bacteria
Description: partial 16S ribosomal RNA
Rfam family: Bacterial small subunit ribosomal RNA
Source: RNAcentral